Molecule: ribosomal RNA, 591 nt
Filed under: Triticum aestivum (bread wheat)
Lineage: Eukaryota; Viridiplantae; Streptophyta; Magnoliopsida; Poales; Poaceae
Description: partial small subunit ribosomal RNA
Source: RNAcentral
AUGGAGCAGAUAAUUGUAAGAGACGAGUCAAGCUAUCAUUUUGGUGCUCUGAAUAAGCUCCUCUUGUGGUUUUUGGUAAACUUGAGAGGGAUAACAUGGCUGAGUACAUCUCCAGCAUCCAUAUUUCCAAGGCUCACUUGUUUGGAUCUGAAUAGCUGCUCCAAGCUAGAGAACCUCUCGUGGGUGAUGUACUUGCCUUGCCUUGAACAGCUCGAGGUACGUUUCUGCAACGUUAUGAAGGAAGCAUUUCCGGGGACAGGGCACCACGGUGAAAUAAUGAGCAUGGAUCAAGAAAGUUCAGUGAAAUCAAAUGGUACAUUUUCUUGCCUGAAAUACCUGCGCCUUUCAGACAACCCGAAGCUGGUCACUAUCUGCGAUCCCGAUGUGACGUUCCCGUCCCUGGAGCAGCUGGUGCUCACGAAAUCUCCAGAGUUGAUCAUGCUCCCUUUCAAGAUGCACAGCUUGCCGCUAAAGCUCCAGGAGCUACAAUUUGAUGAUGUUGAAUGCUGGGACAGAUUGGAAUGUGAAGUAGGUGUCGAAUAUUUCCUGCAACCUUGUCUUAAAUUUGGGUAUGUUAGUGAAAUAUCAUGA